UUAGCUCACAUUUGUAUGGAAUGGGAUCAUUCGCCAACGUUUGCCGCUAGGGGCGCUGUUCCAACUGCAUACAAAACUGGGUUA
This 84-nucleotide microRNA precursor is filed under the name Bombyx mori (domestic silkworm). RNAcentral's name for it is "mir-2807 microRNA precursor family". It matches the Rfam family "mir-2807 microRNA precursor family". Lineage: Eukaryota; Metazoa; Arthropoda; Insecta; Lepidoptera; Bombycidae. The record is from Rfam by way of RNAcentral.